GCUAGCUUCAUUGCUAUGGCAACAGAUAUGACAAUUUUUUUUAAUUGAGACAGGGUCUCAUUCUCUCAUCCAGGCUGGAGUGCAGUGGUGCAAUCUUGGCUCACUACAACCUCCGCCUCCUAGGCUCAAGCGAUACUCCUGUCUCAGUCAUUCAAGUAGCUGAGAUUAUAGGUGCACACCACUACAGCCUGGCUAUUAUAUUUUUCAUAGAGAUGGGGUUUCACCAUGUUGGCCAGGCUGGUCUUGAACUCCUGACCUCAAAUGAUCCACCUACCCUGGCCUCCCAAAGUGCUGGGAUUACAGGUGUGAGCCACCAUUCCCCACUGACAACUUUUUAUAACUUGAUCUUGCUCUUCCCUUUUGCGGCCAUCACCUAAGCGGGAGCUGCCAAAAUGAAGUUCAAUCCCUUUGUGACUUCCGACCGCAGGAAGAAUCGCAAAAGGCAUUUCAAUACACCUUCCCACCUUGGCAGGAAGAUUAUGUCCUCCCCUUUUUCCAAGGAGCUGAGACAGAAGUACAAUGUGUGAUCCAUGCCCAUCCGAAAGGAUGAUGAAGUUCAGGUUGUACGAGGACACUAUAAAGGUCAGCAAAUUGGCAAAGUAGUUCAGGUUUACAGGAAUACGUAAUCUACAUUGAAUGGGUGCAGCGGGAAAAGGCUAAUGGCACAACUGUCCACGUAGGCAUUCACCCCAGCAAGGUGGUUAUCACUAGGCUAAAACUGGACAAAGACCGCAAAAAGAUCCUUGAAUGGAAAGCCAAAUCUCGCCAAGUAGGAAAGGAAAAGGGCAAAUACAAGGAAGAAACAAUUGAGAAGAUGCAGGAAUAAAGUAAUCUUAUUUACAAGCUUUGAUUAAAGCUUGAAA
This is a non-coding RNA of Callithrix jacchus (white-tufted-ear marmoset), 863 nucleotides long. The record is from RefSeq and is a predicted model, not a curated record. NCBI's taxonomy places the organism in Eukaryota, Metazoa, Chordata, Mammalia, Primates, Cebidae.